UUAGAGUUUGAUCCUGGCUCAGAUUGAACGCUGGCGGCAUGCCUUACACAUGCAAGUCGAACGGCAGCACGGAGCUUGCUCUGGUGGCGAGUGGCGAACGGGUGAGUAAUAUAUCGGAACGUACCCUAGAGUGGGGGAUAACGUAGCGAAAGUUACGCUAAUACCGCAUACGAUCUAAGGAUGAAAGUGGGGGAUCGCAAGACCUCAUGCUCGUGGAGCGGCCGAUAUCUGAUUAGCUAGUUGGUAGGGUAAAAGCCUACCAAGGCAUCGAUCAGUAGCUGGUCUGAGAGGACGACCAGCCACACUGGAACUGAGACACGGUCCAGACUCCUACGGGAGGCAGCAGUGGGGAAUUUUGGACAAUGGGCGAAAGCCUGAUCCAGCAAUGCCGCGUGAGUGAAGAAGGCCUUCGGGUUGUAAAGCUCUUUUGUCAGGGAAGAAACGGUGAAAGCUAAUAUCUUUUGCUAAUGACGGUACCUGAAGAAUAAGCACCGGCUAACUACGUGCCAGCAGCCGCGGUAAUACGUAGGGUGCAAGCGUUAAUCGGAAUUACUGGGCGUAAAGCGUGCGCAGGCGGUUUUGUAAGUCUGAUGUGAAAUCCCCGGGCUCAACCUGGGAAUUGCAUUGGAGACUGCAAGGCUAGAAUCUGGCAGAGGGGGGUAGAAUUCCACGUGUAGCAGUGAAAUGCGUAGAUAUGUGGAGGAACACCGAUGGCGAAGGCAGCCCCCUGGGUCAAGAUUGACGCUCAUGCACGAAAGCGUGGGGAGCAAACAGGAUUAGAUACCCUGGUAGUCCACGCCCUAAACGAUGUCUACUAGUUGUCGGGUCUUAAUUGACUUGGUAACGCAGCUAACGCGUGAAGUAGACCGCCUGGGGAGUACGGUCGCAAGAUUAAAACUCAAAGGAAUUGACGGGGACCCGCACAAGCGGUGGAUGAUGCGGAUUAAUUGGAUGCAACGUGAAACACCUUUCCUACCCUUGACAUGGCUGGAAUCCCUGAGAGAUCAGGGAGUGCUCGAAAGAGACCCAGCACCCAGGUGCUGCAUGGCUGUCGUCAGUUCGUGUCGUGAGAUGUUGGGUUAAGUCCCGACAUUGAGCGCACCCCUUGUCAUUAGUUGAUCAGAAAGGGCACUAUAAUGCGAUUGUCGGCGACAAUCCGGAGGAAGGUGGUGAGGACGUCAAGUCAUCAUGCGCCCUUAUGGGUAGGCCUUCACACGUCAUACAAUGGUACAUACAGAGCGCCGCCAUCCCGUGAGGGGGAGCUAAUUGCAGCAAGUGUAUCGUAGUCCGGAUUGUAGUCUGCGAUUCCACUGCAUGUAGUUGGAAUCGGUAGUAAUCGCGGAUCAGCAUGUCGCGGCGAAUCCGUUCCCGGGUCUUGUGCUCCCCGCCCGUCACUCCACGGGAGCGGGUUUUCCCAGAAGUCGGU
This 1426-nucleotide ribosomal RNA is filed under the name uncultured bacterium. RNAcentral's name for it is "16S ribosomal RNA". It matches the Rfam family "Bacterial small subunit ribosomal RNA". The record is from RNAcentral.